GACGAACGCUGGCGGCGUGCUUAACACAUGCAAGUCGAACGGAAAGGCCUGCUUUCCCUUGUGGAUUGCGGGUACUCGAGUGGCGAACGGGUGAGUAACACGUGAGUGAUCUGCCCCCAACUUGGGUAUAAGCCUGGGAAACUGGGUCUAAUUCCCGAUAGGACUGCAGGGUGGUGCCUGUGGUGGAAAACGAUUUUCUAGUGGUUGGGGAUGAGCUCGCGGCCUAUCAGCUUGUUGGUGGGGUAAUGGCCUACCAAGGCGGCGACGGGUAGCCGGCCUGGGAGGGUGGACGGCCACAUUGGGACUGAGAUACGGCCCAGACUCCUACGGGAGGCAGCAGUGGGGAAUAUUGCACAAUGGGCGGAAGCCUGAUGCAGCGACGCCGCGUGGGGGAUGACGGCCUUCGGGUUGUAAACUCUUUUCGACCGCGAGGAAGCCACCUGGUUGGAAGGGUGGUGACGGUAGUGGUAGAAGAAGCACCGGCUAACUACGUG
Molecule: ribosomal RNA, 494 nt
Filed under: uncultured bacterium
Lineage: Bacteria
Description: partial 16S ribosomal RNA
Rfam family: Bacterial small subunit ribosomal RNA
Source: RNAcentral